Quercus robur (English oak) is the source of this 1450-nucleotide RNA transcript. RefSeq lists it as uncharacterized. The transcript is spliced from 14 exons. NCBI's taxonomy places the organism in Eukaryota, Viridiplantae, Streptophyta, Magnoliopsida, Fagales, Fagaceae. The record is from RefSeq and is a predicted model, not a curated record.
GAGAGAAAAGUGCACAAACCUUAUCUUCUUCGGUUUAGAGUGAGAGACAGUGCAAUGGCCGCAGCCACAGCAAGUCAUUUGCUGAUGCCUCCAAUACGAUGCGCUGAUUCAAAACCAACAAGACGCGGUUUUGGAACCAAAAACAACACCAACAAGGUACCCACGAAAUCAACAACUAAGCAAUCUGGUCCUGUACCUACUCAGGCACCUGGUUUAAGUUCUCAAUUUGAUGGGAAAUCGAAGAAUAAUUCUUUGGACCUUCAGUUUGAGGAACGGUUGGAAGCAGUUAGAAGGUCAGCGCUCGAGAAGAAAAAAGAAGAUGACGAAAAAGACUUUGGAGCAAUUGACUAUGAUGCACCAGUUGAGGCAGAGAAGAAAACGAUUGGACUUGGUACACAGAUUGGGGUAGGUGUAGCUGUCUUGGUCUUCGGUUUGGUUUUUGCUCUUGGAGACUUUCUUCCCUCAGGAAGUGUUAGUCCCACUGAGGAUGGUGCCGUGGUCAAUAAUAAACUGUCGGAAGAAGAGAAAGCUACUCUUCAGACUAGGCUGAAAGAUUAUGAGGCAACGCUAACUAACUCCCCAAAAGAUCCAAUUGCUCUUGAAGGAGCUGCAGUGACAUUGACAGAAUUGGGAGAAUAUACUCGAGCUGUCUCUGUGCUUCAGGACUUGACUAAGGUGAAACCAAGUGACCCUGAUGUUUACCGUUUGCUUGGAGAAGUCAAAUAUGAACUCAAAGAUUAUGACGGGAGUGUAGCUGCAUUUAAGAUUUCAGAUAUGGUGUCUAAAGAGAUCAACUUUGAAGUACUGCGUGGCCUUACAACUUCAUUACUUGCUGCUAAGAAACCAGAUGAGGUUUGUCAUCAUGCUAUUAGGCUGUUCAAUUUCUCCUGGGCUCUCGUGAACGACUGUAUUCUCAGAACUCUAAUAGUAAGGUUGAAGAGACAAAUUCGCAACAGGUGGACCCUGUUCAAGUUGAAUUACUUCUUGGUAAAGCAUAUUCAGAUUGGGGCCAUAUCAGUGAUGCUGUAUCUGUUUACGACCGCCUCAUCUCUAGUCACCCAGAUGACUUCCGUGGUUACUUAGCUAAGGGAAUCAUUUUGAAAGAAAACGGUAAAGUUGGAGAUGCAGAGAGGAUGUUUAUUCAGGCACGGUUCUUUGCACCAGAGAAAGCUAAGGCACUUGUAGAUCGUUACUCAAGACGGUAACUGCUGUUGUUACUGCCUGUUUUUGUGCAUGGUUCGUUUAUAACUUAGUCUUGAUGUAGUUCCAUUUUGACUAUUGGACUAUUUAUAUCGGUCUCCAAAAUUUUCAUAAGUUCAUUUAGUGUGUCUCUAGAUUGUAUGUACAUGUAUAAGGAUUGGCUGAUAAGGAUAAAACUGUUACCCUGAUUUUCCAUAUGUAAUUUAAAAAAUUAAAUAAAUCAAUAGAAUACGAAAUUUAUUUGUUAUUA